This 858-nucleotide long non-coding RNA is filed under the name Citrus x clementina. RNAcentral describes it as "Citrus clementina (C. clementina) long non-coding RNA (CCLE_LNC001342)". Lineage: Eukaryota; Viridiplantae; Streptophyta; Magnoliopsida; Sapindales; Rutaceae. The record is from RNAcentral.
AUAUUUUUUUUUCUUAAUCCUUUGUCCAGGCCCGGAUGUGUGAGGAUAGCCUAGACUUUUUUGCCCACCAUAAGGACAGUGGCCACUCGACCAAAUCCUUAAACCUUGAAUUUUUUUAUUUCAAUAUAGAAAAAAAGGCAACAUUAACUUGGUUAUGUUGUAUGUGUGUGUGUGUGUUUUUUUUUAAUUACAAUUAAUGAUUUAAUCUGACAUUUAUAGUUUUGAUAACACAAGAUUUGAUGUCGGUUAAUAAUUAAUUAAACCUGUUAAUUUACCUAAUAAUAUAACUUGGGAAAACCUGUGGUGCAACUGUGGUACCGUGCCACAGUUGCAUCCAACUGUUUAAUACCAAUGGAUCUCAUCAAUUUAAGUACAUUCAACGAUUGAAUGUAACUAUAACACGAUAACACAAUUGCACCGAAACAUGAUCCGUAUAACUUUAUAUCAAUUUAAAAAUUAUUCCAAACAGAUAAAAUUAGGCUUAGCAACACCGGACAGUCGGACACAACAAAACCAAAAUCCCCGUAUCUCAAAAAAUAAAAUAAAAAAGAGAAGCGUGUUUCAAGUUACCAAAAAACCAGCCGCAGAAGCAUUAUUGCGCUGCUAGUAAUUUGGCUACUCGUACAAGUCUUAUCUUGGCCUGUUUGCCGUAGCUUUACAGACAAGAAAGUCCCAUCAACAGCGACUAAUAAAGCCUGAGAAUACCAAAAUCCCAACCAGCUGCAUGACAUAUUUAAUGUUUGUGCACCCAUUUUAAAACAUCACAGCCACACCGUGACAUCCAAAAUAAUUUUAUUAUUUAUUCAAACAUUUUAUUUACAGUAUUACCGUUUCUGUCAUUCCGAGUUCUAACAUCAG